UACGAAGGUGGCGAAUGUUGCUCGGAUUCACUGGGCGUAAAGCGUCUGUAGGAGGCUUGUUAAGUCAGGUGUGAAAGCCCCGCGCUCAACGUGGGAAUUGCACUUGAAACUAGCUGGCUAGAAGAUAUGAGAGGAUGGCGGAAUUACUGGUGUAGAGGUAAAAUUCAUAGAUAUCAGUAGGAACACCCAUGGCGAAGGCAGCUAUCUGGCAUAUUCUUGACUCUGAGAGACGACAGCGUGGGGAGCAAACAGG
This 253-nucleotide ribosomal RNA is filed under the name uncultured bacterium. RNAcentral's name for it is "partial 16S ribosomal RNA". It matches the Rfam family "Bacterial small subunit ribosomal RNA", at positions 524 to 776 of the family's 1533-position model. The record is from RNAcentral.